GGACCCGCACAAGCAGUGGAGCAUGUGGUUUAAUUCGAAGAUACGCGCAGAACCUUACCAACGCUUGACAUGUUCGUCGCGAGACUAAGAGAUUAGUCUUUUCAGUUAGGCUGGACGAAACACAGGUGCUGCAUGGCUGUCGUCAGCUCGUGUCGUGAGAUGUUGGGUUAAGUCCCGCAACGAGCGCAACCCCCUACUUUUUAGUUGCCACCAUUUAGUUGGGCACUUUAAAAGAACUGCCAGUGAUAAGCUGGAGGAAGGUGGGGAUGACCGUCAAGUCCUCAUGGCCCUUAUGUGUUGGGCUACACACGUGCUACAAUGGCACUUACAAUGGGAUGCAAAGAGGCGACUCU
RNAcentral lists this ribosomal RNA (353 nucleotides) under uncultured bacterium. RNAcentral describes it as "bacterial SSU rRNA". It matches the Rfam family "Bacterial small subunit ribosomal RNA", at positions 917 to 1264 of the family's 1533-position model. The record is from RNAcentral.